Long non-coding RNA from Pectinophora gossypiella (pink bollworm), 875 nucleotides. RefSeq lists it as uncharacterized. The record is from RefSeq and is a predicted model, not a curated record. Lineage: Eukaryota; Metazoa; Arthropoda; Insecta; Lepidoptera; Gelechiidae. The transcript has 3 exons.
ACCAGAAUCUGAUGGCAUAAAAAAAGUAAAAAAAAUAUUGAUUUUCCUAUGGUAAUAUUAAACUGUCUCCUGUCAUGUCUAAGUACAUGUUUUGUCAAUAAUACUGAGAUUUUCCAAAGAUUCCUUGAAAUUAUUCUGAAUUUCGUAAGAAUAUCGAAAAAACCACUUCGAUCACAAGCAAGAAAGAUUGUUUACAUUGUUUAUUGUAAAAUUAGUGAAGAAGCAGUUGGAGAUCAACCGCAAUCUUCGAUUUUAAAACGCGUCCAAAGUUGACCGGAGUUCCUAGCACUACCACACGACGAAUAAUUGCUGAAGGUAGACCGAAUGGAAGUGUAUUUAGUGCACCCGGUAAAAAGAAGAGAGGUGGAAAGAAAACAAAUAACCUGGACAGUUUUGAUUUGGAAAUAGCAUAAUAAUAUAAAGUGAUCUUUUCAUAAAUAUUUUGUUUUUUUAUAUAUACCUACCUACACUAGCUAGAUUUUGCCCGCAGCUUCGCUAGCGACAUCUAUCGCUUCAAGCAACUGUUGGAAUCUAGAGGUUGGAUAAAAAAUAGCAUACCUAUGUUCCAUUCCAUCUAUCUCCAUACAAAAUCUCAAGUCGUUCCGUUGCUUAGUUUUGACGUGAUGAGUGGAUAAACAGACAAACUCACAUUCAGGCGUUAGCGUUCACAAGACGACCGGGCGGACAAUACUGGACACGACAGGGCAAAAAAUAGAACGAAAGCAAUACUGUAUUGCAUACAAUAAGUACUUUAUAUAAUGUCCAUAUUGUCCGUCAAUAGGUAAAAAAUAAAAAGUAUCAAGACGUUUUCAUCCAAUUACCCGAGUGUUGCUUACUAUAGAAAUUUUAUUUCCCCAUUUGCCAUCAGAUUCUGG